UCUUCAAUUUUAUUUGAAUCUGAUAAAAAGAUUACAUUUUUGGGUUAAACUUAACAUAUUCUGUGUGGGUUUUGAUUUUAUGAAUAAAUCUACCAAAGUUUGAAAUUGAAUCUGAUAUAGGGUUUAGAUCAAAUUUUAUUGAAUUGGUAUUAAAUGGGGAUAGGGAUUUGAUUAUUGAAUUGGUAUUCAAGGGGGAUAGGGUAGGAUUUUAUGAAUUUGUCAAAUUUAGGAUAUGUUCUAAUUUGUGUAAUUUGUUCUUUUCAUGUUAAAAUUAACUGACCCAUCUCAAUGGAUGAAUCAAACCCUUAGGUAACGUGUUUUAUCAGCUUUCCUUGUUGUUGCCAUUGAUUGACUGUUUUGUGUAUGCAUGUCUGAGAGAGAGACAGGGAGGGAAAGCUUAAGACUGUACUUAUGUUUAGAUCCAUGUGAUGAAUAUGAUAUGAUUAAUUUGAUGGACAACAUGUAAUUGAGGUUUCUCAUAUGAUUUCGGAACUUUGCUCGAGCCAUAGGUUUAUGAAUGACUAAAGAGAGGGCAGUGAAUAUAUGUAUUGAGUUUCGUGAUUAUACUUCAAAACUACUCCUAUAGCUGAUCAGUACAAGUUAACUACUAGUAGUUGAAUAGCAUCGGGAAGCAGUGGAGCUUCUAACGAAAUGUUUAAGAUUGAUACAUUCCAGAUAUCGAGAAUUUCAUCUCUUUAAAGUAGUAGUAGAAGAAGAAUAAUAGGUUUUUGGGUAACGCAUACAUUCCAGAUAUCGAGAAUUCUUCCUCAGAACCACCACCGGCGAAUGGAUAUUGAACAAGUAAUUGAGUUUUUAGCUCAUGUUCCGUUGCUACAGCGGCCUCCGGGUUCAUCUUUUGCUGAGGUCGCAAAAAUAGUGCAGUUCAAACAUUACAGUGAGUAGAUUUGUUACUAGGGUUCAUUUCAUUGCUACUGACGAUAGGACAAGUGUCCAUCUCAAAGAUUUGCAUCCCACAGAGUGUUGUUAAUACUUGGCAUCCAUGUAGCAAGCAACAAGAAUAUGACUUGUACAACAUUGGCAUCGUCACAACAGCAUUUCAUAAUACUGAUUCCCAUGAAUCCAACAAUUUAGUGGGCACUCCCGACCGUAGACUUGUCUCUAAUUCAUCGUAUCCACUUUCAAGUCAUUGGCGCGCUUUAGCUGGAGGAGGAGACUAUGAUGUAUGCGUGGCC
Long non-coding RNA from Papaver somniferum (opium poppy), 1193 nucleotides. RefSeq lists it as uncharacterized. The transcript is spliced from 4 exons. Lineage: Eukaryota; Viridiplantae; Streptophyta; Magnoliopsida; Ranunculales; Papaveraceae. The record is from RefSeq and is a predicted model, not a curated record.